Molecule: long non-coding RNA, 223 nt
Filed under: Salvia miltiorrhiza (redroot sage)
Lineage: Eukaryota; Viridiplantae; Streptophyta; Magnoliopsida; Lamiales; Lamiaceae
Description: long non-coding RNA (SMIL_LNC009525)
Source: RNAcentral
AAGAAGAAAAAAAAUACAAUUUAAAACUAAAAAAAGAGUCCAAAAAAAAUUAAAACCGAAAAUAUAAUUUAAUAAAAAGAAUAAAAGAAGAAGAAAAAAUGAAAAACAAAAAAGAAAGAAUAAAAAAAUGAUUUAAAGCAGUAAAAAAAAUACUCUAGGCAAAGUGUUGGGUAUCUUCGCCUAGCCAGGGUUACACCUCUUGUUUCCCGAACCUCAUGUCUUC